GCCAUGUUGGUGAAGCGCCGGGGCUGCUAAUGCUCCCUCCCCUCUUCCUCUUUGGCUCUCUCUCUCUCUUUUUCCAGACACCUUAAGGAAUUCAACAACCCCUCCCCUGCACACAGGCUUCUUCCAGAUGCCAUGUUGCAAGAUUUCCUCUGGAGAGGGCCUCUUGGCAAGGAACUGAUGUCUCUGGCCAGCAGCCAGCGAGGACCUAAGAUCUGUCAACAGCCAUGUUGUCAGAGCUUGAAGGCAAAUUAUCGGUCUUCUUCCUCUUUAUUCCUCCAGCACCCAGCUGGGAGUAGGCAGAAGGGACAAUGAAUUGUGACUCGGAAAUUAAUCAGAUGAGACCUGAUGACUGAAGUACAUCACAGAGCUAGGAAGAGAGAUUACUAAGCAACACGGUGAGAGCUCCAUCCUCUGGGUAUUCAGCCAACUACAGAUCACUCAAAGGCAGACAUUCUGGGAUCUUCCAUCCAUCAAGCUGAACCAGAGUACAAGGCCAAAACCAGUGAAUGACAAAGCAACCCCAUGCCCAGCUUAAGAGUUUCCUCAGAGAGUUUGUCUUGUAGGAGUCAUUAGACACUAAUUUGAUUCUAUUUGCAUGUGCACACCCUGCCCUUUGCCAAACAGGGAGAGAAUCACACUUGAGAGCUAGCGCUCAGCUCAGUCUCUUCUCCACACCACGCUAGUGCACCAAGAACAAGGUUAUAGGUGUGGCAAAAAAACAAACCCUGCCAAUGCUCUAAGUAUAUGUUUGAUGUAAUCUUAUUUCUCAUAAAAUUAAGAGGAUAAUAUUUUUAGGUGAUGCAGAGUAUGAGACUGUCAUUAGGUUACUCUGAAUCUCUUUCUCUCUCUCUCUUCAUGGUAAAAAUUAAGUUCCAUUAGGAAAAUUCUUCCUCCCCUUCCUUCCUCCCAUUGGUCUUUCCUCCUAAGAUCCAGGUAGCUCUGAGAAAGUUUGUUUCAUCUAUGCGUUGGCCUGGGAAUCCUCCUCUUGUUAAUCUACACAAAUAAAAUCAUCUUAAAGAUCGAAA
RNAcentral lists this long non-coding RNA (1025 nucleotides) under Homo sapiens (human). Its description in RNAcentral is "long intergenic non-protein coding RNA 2682". The record is from RNAcentral. Lineage: Eukaryota; Metazoa; Chordata; Mammalia; Primates; Hominidae.